GGGGGGGUGUCCUUGCUGGAACGAACUAACUGCCCGCUCCUUCCUAUAUCUGCAUUGCUGCUCUGUCCUGUCCUAUGUUUAGUUAUCCUUUCGGAGAAGGGACACCAUGAUAAUACCAUGUGACUUGACCAAACGGCCCAGGAAGAUAAGUUUGGGAGUUCAGGAUGACAAGCGUGAAUCCUGCAAGUUUCUGCUAGAUGCAUUUGAUUUCUUUGGCGGUGUAAUUCCUUGUCAUAUCCUUGUACCGCAAGUACUGGUGCAGACAAAGUGACUGCUCUUUCCUUUCUGCGUGAAAACGGGGACGUCAUGUGAGCUGACCGUGUACAUUUCUGAAUGCUUUUUGAGUCCCUACUUCAUGUAUGGCUUGUUCGAUGAACAAACAAGUAUCCUGGUCCACUGAAUGAACAGAAGUUGAGGAUCCUGAAAGUGUAUAGUACUUGCAAUUCAAAAGCGGAACCACUUUGAUUUUUGUGGUAAUUU
This is a long non-coding RNA of Triticum aestivum (bread wheat), 480 nucleotides long. RefSeq lists it as uncharacterized. NCBI's taxonomy places the organism in Eukaryota, Viridiplantae, Streptophyta, Magnoliopsida, Poales, Poaceae. The record is from RefSeq and is a predicted model, not a curated record. The transcript has 2 exons.